GAUGAACGCUGGCGGCGUGCCUAAUACAUGCAAGUCGAGCGAACAGACGAGGAGCUUGCUCCUCUGACGUUAGCGGCGGACGGGUGAGUAACACGUGGAUAACCUACCUAUAAGACUGGGAUAACUUCGGGAAACCGGAGCUAAUACCGGAUAAUAUAUUGAACCGCAUGGUUCAAUAGUGAAAGACGGUUUUGCUGUCACUUAUAGAUGGAUCCGCGCCGCAUUAGCUAGUUGGUAAGGUAACGGCUUACCAAGGCAACGAUGCGUAGCCGACCUGGGAGGGUGAUCGGCCACACUGAAACUGAGACACGGUCCAGACUCCUACGGGAGGCAGCAGUAGGGAAUCUUCCGCAAAGGGCGAAAGCCUGACGGAGCAACGCCGCGUGAGUGAUGAAGGUCUUCGGAUCGUAAAACUCUGUUAUUAGGGAAGAACAAAUGUGUAAGUAACUAUGCACGUCUUGACGGUACCUAAUCAGAAAGCCACGGCUAACUACGUG
RNAcentral lists this ribosomal RNA (497 nucleotides) under uncultured bacterium. RNAcentral describes it as "partial 16S ribosomal RNA". It matches the Rfam family "Bacterial small subunit ribosomal RNA", at positions 28 to 507 of the family's 1533-position model. The record is from RNAcentral.